RNAcentral lists this ribosomal RNA (301 nucleotides) under uncultured bacterium. Its description in RNAcentral is "partial 16S ribosomal RNA". It matches the Rfam family "Bacterial small subunit ribosomal RNA", at positions 509 to 807 of the family's 1533-position model. The record is from RNAcentral.
CAGUAGCCGCGGUAAUACGUAGGUGGCAAGCGUUGUCCGGAAUUAUUGGGCGUAAAGGGCUCGCAGGCGGUUUCUUAAGUCUGAUGUGAAAGCCCCCGGCUCAACCGGGGAGGGUCAUUGGAAACUGGGAAACUUGAGUGCAGAAGAGGAGAGUGGAAUUCCACGAGUAGCGGUGGAAUGCGUAGAGAUGUGGAGGAACACCAGUGGCGAAGGCGACUCUCUGGUCUGUAACUGACGCUGAGGGGCGAAAGCGUGGGGAGCGAACAGGAUUAGAUACCCCCGUAGUCCCUGUCUCUUAUAC